Molecule: unclassified non-coding RNA, 329 nt
Filed under: soil metagenome
Description: partial contains 5.8S ribosomal RNA, internal transcribed spacer 2, and large subunit ribosomal RNA
Rfam family: 5.8S ribosomal RNA (bases 1-120)
Source: RNAcentral
GAUGAAGAACGCAGCGAAAUGCGAUAAGUAAUGUGAAUUGCAGAAUUCAGUGAAUCAUCGAAUCUUUGAACGCACAUUGCGCCCCUUGGUAUUCCGAGGGGCAUGCCUGUUCGAGCGUCAUUAUAACCCCUCAAGCUCAGCUUGGUGUUGGGGCCUGCUGCACUGGCAGCCCUUAAAAUCAGUGGCGGCGCUAUCUGGCUCUAAGCGUAGUAAUUCUUCUCGCUAUGGAGUCCUGGUGGAUGCUUGCCAUCAACCCCCAAUUUUUCUAUGGUUGACCUCGGAUCAGGUAGGGAUACCCGCUGAACUUAAGCAUAUCAAUAAGCGGAGGA